AAGAUAGAAAGAAAAAAGUCCAGAAGUGGUGGCAUUCUCUACAGUCCCAGGAGGUAGAGGAAGCAGGAUAGUCACGAGUUCAAGGCCAGCCUUAGCUACAAACAGGGUGUAAGCUUAGCCUGGUCUACAUGGAAUCUCCCCCCACCUCCAUAUGGGGCUGUGAUGUGCUGUGAGGUGUCUAUGUGUGUGGGCUCUGAAGGGAACUUUGUCAAUGACAACCUCCUGUCACAAUGUCAAAGGCUGGAUGGCUCUGCCAAGGCACACGGUGCACAUAUACGACCCCUGGCCCACUCUUGCCUACUCCUAUGGACUUAUAUACCCUGUACACUUUCUCUGCAAUGCAAAACUUCUUGGCAUUUAUCAAUAAAAGUGGAGCCCUCCUGGAA
Long non-coding RNA from Mastomys coucha (southern multimammate mouse), 386 nucleotides. RefSeq lists it as uncharacterized. The record is from RefSeq and is a predicted model, not a curated record. The transcript is spliced from 2 exons. NCBI's taxonomy places the organism in Eukaryota, Metazoa, Chordata, Mammalia, Rodentia, Muridae.